RNAcentral lists this ribosomal RNA (451 nucleotides) under uncultured bacterium. Its description in RNAcentral is "bacterial SSU rRNA". It matches the Rfam family "Bacterial small subunit ribosomal RNA", at positions 29 to 506 of the family's 1533-position model. The record is from RNAcentral.
AUGAACGCUGGCGACGUGUUUUAGGCAUGCAAGUCGAACGCGUGUAGCAAUACACGAGUGGCAAACGGGUGCGUAACACAUUGGUAACCUACCUCGGUCACAGGGACAACUCGCCGAAAGGCGAGCUAAUACCUGAUGGUUCUUCCCAUCGCAGGAUGGGAACGUAAAGGCGCAAGCCGGACCGAGAGGGGCCUAUGGUCUAUCAGCUAGUUGGUGAGGUAAUGGCUCACCAAGGCAAUGACAGAUAGCGGGCGUGAGAGCGCGACCCGCCUCAGUGGAACUGAGACACUGUCCACGCUCCUACGGGGGGCUGCAGUCAAGAAUAUUCCCCAAUGGGCGAAAGCCUGAGGGAGCGACGUCGCGUGCAGGAAGAAACCCCUCGGGGCGUAAACUGCUUUUCUCUGGGAAUAACUCUGAAGGUACCAGAGGAAUAAGAGGCUGCUAACUUCGU